CCCUUGUCUUAUACCUCUUUCA
RNAcentral lists this non-coding RNA (22 nucleotides) under Arabidopsis thaliana (thale cress). The record is from RNAcentral. Lineage: Eukaryota; Viridiplantae; Streptophyta; Magnoliopsida; Brassicales; Brassicaceae.